GUCGGUAAAACUCGUGCCAGCCACCGCGGUUAUACGAGAGGCCCAAGCUGAUAAUCAUCGGCGUAAAGGGUGGUUAGGAUAAAUUGAAGACUAAAGCCGAAAGCCCUCACAGCUGUUAUACGCACUCGAGGGUAAGAAGCCCAACUACGAAAGUGGCUUUACAACAUCCGAACCCACGAAAGCUAGGGCACAAACUGGGAUUAGAUACCCCACUAUG
RNAcentral lists this ribosomal RNA (217 nucleotides) under Orthopristis chrysoptera (pigfish). RNAcentral's name for it is "partial small subunit ribosomal RNA". It matches the Rfam family "Bacterial small subunit ribosomal RNA", at positions 492 to 794 of the family's 1533-position model. Lineage: Eukaryota; Metazoa; Chordata; Actinopteri; Lutjaniformes; Haemulidae. The record is from RNAcentral.